Molecule: long non-coding RNA, 1822 nt
Organism: Varroa destructor (honeybee mite)
Lineage: Eukaryota; Metazoa; Arthropoda; Arachnida; Mesostigmata; Varroidae
Source: RefSeq, a predicted model, not a curated record
ACAACGGGAAAUUUAUUAUUAGUGUAAUGUAAACUGAAAUGUCCUGUUUCGCAAAAAAAAAAACAUGAAGAGAGGUACAAGCUUGGUGAAUUAUUGCGAAAUCGAUAUUUAACUAUACUGUGACCAAGGAUGAGCUGAAAAACUCAAAUUUUAUCUUUGCACAACGGAACGCAAGAUUCGAACACGCGACAAAAAAACGAUAUGGCUUGUGGGGUGUCGCCGACGCCGAUUGAACUGCUUAUUGUUCCCGUCCGCCGAGUACAUUUACUGGUAGAUCGUCGGUUAAGGGGUGCUAGGUAAGCAGCGCCCAGUCCUCAACGAUGAUGUUCAAGACGCUUUCUGCGUUUCGCUGCGUGGGCAAUCACAAUCUGACAAUAGACACGCCGCUUGUCCGCCAGCCUGCUGCUGUGUUUUUGUGUCAUCGCAUCGCUGCUGCUGCGCUGUGCUCUUUUCCUAAUCUUUAAGGCUGAAGUGGUUGGUACAUAUGUACCCCUAGGAUGCUCGUGGAGACCCUACCGACCGACGUCGAGAAUAGCAGAAGAUUUGCUAGAAGAAUAUGCCCCUCCGACCUAUGAGACUAAUGUUUUUAUGUAGCACCAGGAGAUUUAGAAUCAUAGGUACAAUGUUUUAUUUGAUCCUGCCCAACGUCUGCAGAUUAAACCACCUCGCCCUGCCAGGAAAUGUCGUUUGUGCCAACAUCGCAAAGUACUAAUCAGCACCGCUUAACUAGCAAGUUGGGUUCCAGGAUUAUCACAAACUUCCCUAAGGAGUAGAGAAGUACGAUAAAACAACUACGCGAUGCAUCUACUUCCGGAGUCAAGAACGAAUCGACGUAUUGCAAACAUCGCAUAUGGCGUGGCCUGAUUCCGUUUAAGCCUACACGCUUACCGGAAGCUCGUUAUCAAAGAGUCACGUUCGCAGAAGGAAGGCAACUUUUCUAAGCGCCGGAUCGGACACGCCUGACCAGUUCUUCCACGUUCGGAUUUUCCCGUUGCUUCGUGUAGCUCUCUUCUGCGAAAAAUGCUAGUGCUAUUUUAGUUGCAUUGGUAAGGCUGCCAGCUAACCCCACUCACAACAUCCGCACUUGCUCGAUCGACUCGUUGAGGUUCCAGCUGCCCGUGAAUCGAAUGUCGACCCUUUUUGCCGAGCUCUGCGAUGCCUAUCAAUCGCUUGAGUGGAUAAUAGACUGCUGGGUAAGCAACGGAAGCCAGAAUACCGGUGCAAUGCAGUGUACGCGCACACUGCACACAUACCACAAAAGAGCACUACCAAGACGCAGGAGGAAGUCCGCGUGACAUCGUCGAUCUAAGACUCGAAUCUUCAUCCGCCGUCCGUUGAUCCAUUCUUAGCGGUGCAAUGCUAUGCAAAGGCGUUGCGAGUAAGUCGCCGAACUAGCGAGCCAGGGUGGCCCACAAAAGGACAGCGUUGCACGCCGCAGGACGACCGAAUUGUCUGAAGGAGCAAAUCAGCUGAGGAUUAGCGCGGCUAUCUGGCAUGACUGCGCAAGCAAAGACUAACGGAUGGAAACGAUUGGACGGCCACGAUCCAAAGAAACACUGUCAAGCCCAAAUCAGGCCACGCGUAGUCCACAACAGAAUUCAGUCAACCAGCCAACCGACAACACAAAGCCAGCCAGAACGUCUGGGUGUUGAACACUCGUGCAUAGAAAGCUGGGGGGCAAGCGGCAUAGAUGACCGAUCAGCGUGUACCUAGCUAUGUGAGCUGAACAAAAGGCCAGUUGUAAGGCAAGUCAGCGGCUGUCCAUCGCUCCCAGUCAAGGGUGGCGAUAUAUCAGUAAUUUUCAACAUUAUUUUCGUUUUUG